UAUUCUCAACUCUCCAAUACUUUGUUGUAAAGGAGAGCUUGGAUUGUGGAGGUUUGCUGGCUCCUUACUUGAGGUCAGCUCCUCUGAAAUGCAUUAGCGGAAUCGUCUGCGAUCUGCCACAAGUGUGAUAACUUAUCUACACUGGCGAGGGGAUUGCUUUCUGAUGUUCAGCUUCUAAUCGUCUAAGGACAAUUUCUUGAAU
RNAcentral lists this unclassified non-coding RNA (202 nucleotides) under Agaricus bisporus (cultivated mushroom). RNAcentral's name for it is "partial internal transcribed spacer 2". Lineage: Eukaryota; Fungi; Basidiomycota; Agaricomycetes; Agaricales; Agaricaceae. The record is from RNAcentral.